RNAcentral lists this ribosomal RNA (418 nucleotides) under uncultured prokaryote. RNAcentral's name for it is "bacterial SSU rRNA". It matches the Rfam family "Archaeal small subunit ribosomal RNA", at positions 455 to 873 of the family's 1478-position model. The record is from RNAcentral.
GUGCCAGCCGCCGCGGUAAUACCAGCUCUCCGAGUGGUGGGGAUGAUUAUUGGGCCUAAAGCAUCCGUAGCCGGCUGGACAAGUCCCCUGUUAAAUCCAACGAUCCAAUCGUUGGUCUGCGGGGGAUACUGUCCGGCUUGGGGGCGGGAGAGGCCGCCGGUAUUUCCGGGGUAGGGGUGAAAUCCUAUAAUCCCGGGAGGACCACCAGUGGCGAAGGCUGUCGGCUAGAACGCGCCCGACGGUGAGGGAUGAAAGCUGGGGGAGCGAACCGGAUUAGAUACCCGGGUAGUCCCAGCUGUAAACGAUGCAGGCUAGGUGUUAGGGCGGCUACGUGCCGCUCUAGUGCCGCAGGGAAGCUGUUAAGCCUGCCGCUUGGGGAGUACGGCCGCAAGGCUGAAACUCAAAGGAAUUGACGGGG